CGGGGAGCGAGUGUGGAUCGCCGCCGGGGGCCGGUUUCGGCCGGACCCAUCGGUGGAGGAAAGUCCGGGCUCCACAGGGCAGGAUGCCGGGUAACGCCCGGGCGGCGAGAGCCGACGGAAAGUGCCACAGAGAGCAGACCGCCGAUGGCCCCCAGUCCUUCGGGACAAAGGGCACAGGUAAGGGUGAAAGGGUGCGGUAAGAGCGCACCGGUCGGCCGGCAACGGUCGGCGCAUGGCAAACCCCAUCCGGAGCAAGGCCAAGCAGGGACGAGGAGCUGCCCGCUCCAUCCGAGUCCCGGGUCGGCUGCUCGAGCCGUACAGCAAUGCACGGCCCAGAGAAAUGAUUCACCUCCGCCUCGGCGGAGACAGAACCCGGCUUAUUCCGCUCCCCGUGAC
Molecule: RNase P RNA, 396 nt
Filed under: Gemmatimonadales bacterium
Lineage: Bacteria; Pseudomonadati; Gemmatimonadota; Gemmatimonadia; Gemmatimonadales
Description: RNase P RNA component class A
Rfam family: Bacterial RNase P class A
About the family: Ribonuclease P (RNase P) is a ubiquitous endoribonuclease, found in archaea, bacteria and eukarya as well as chloroplasts and mitochondria.
Source: RNAcentral